RNAcentral lists this ribosomal RNA (261 nucleotides) under uncultured Burkholderiales bacterium. Its description in RNAcentral is "partial 16S ribosomal RNA". It matches the Rfam family "Bacterial small subunit ribosomal RNA", at positions 542 to 802 of the family's 1533-position model. Lineage: Bacteria; Pseudomonadati; Pseudomonadota; Betaproteobacteria; Burkholderiales. The record is from RNAcentral.
UAAUCGGAAUUACUGGGCGUAAAGCGUGCGCAGGCGGUUUUGUAAGUUUGUCGUGAAAGCCCCGGGCUCAACCUGGGAAUUGCGAUGAAGACUGCAAGGCUUGAAUCUGGCAGAGGGGGGUAGAAUUCCACGUGUAGCAGUGAAAUGCGUAGAGAUGUGGAGGAACACCGAUGGCGAAGGCAGCCCCCUGGGUCAAGAUUGACGCUCAUGCACGAAAGCGUGGGGAGCAAACAGGAUUAGAUACCCUGGUAGUCAAGGGCG